Molecule: ribosomal RNA, 514 nt
Filed under: uncultured bacterium
Lineage: Bacteria
Description: bacterial SSU rRNA
Rfam family: Bacterial small subunit ribosomal RNA
Source: RNAcentral
AGAGUUUGAUCCUGGCUCAGGACGAACGCUGGCGGCGUGCUUAACACAUGCAAGUCGAGGGGUCUCGGGGGCAACUUCGGGGCACCGGCGAACGGGUGCGUAACACGUGAGCGACCUGCCUCCCCGCGGGGGAUAGCCGGCCCAACGGACGGGUAAUACCGCAUACGCUCUUCUUUAGGCAUUUAGAGAAGAGGGAACCUUCGGGGCACCAUGAGGGGCUCGCGGCCUAUCAGCUAGUUGGCGAGGUAACGGCUCACCAAGGCUACGACGGGUAGCUGGUCUGAGAGGAUGGCCAGCCACAUUGGGACUGAGAAACGGCCCAGACUCCUACGGGAGGCAGCAGUGGGGAAUCUUGCGCAAUGGCCUAACGGCUGACGCAGCGACGCCGCGUGAGGGAUGACGCUCUUCGGAGUGUAAACCUCUUUUGCCUGGAACGAACUAUUGGCUUUUGCCGAUUUGACGGUACCGGGUGAAUAAGCACCGGCUAACUCCGUGCCAGCAGCCGCGGUAAUAC